Molecule: ribosomal RNA, 472 nt
Filed under: uncultured bacterium
Lineage: Bacteria
Description: bacterial SSU rRNA
Rfam family: Bacterial small subunit ribosomal RNA
Source: RNAcentral
AGAGUUUGAUCAUGGCUCAGAACGAACGCUGGCGGCAGGCUUAACACAUGCAAGUCGAGCGCUCUCUUCGGAGGGAGCGGCGGACGGGUGAGUAACGCGUGGGAACGUGCCCCUUGGUGCGGAACAACAGCUGGAAACGGCUGCUAAUACCGCAUGAUGUCUACGGACCAAAGAUUUAUCGCCAAGGGAUCGGCCCGCGUCGGAUUAGGUAGUUGGUGGGGUAACGGCCCACCAAGCCGACGAUCCGUAGCUGGUUUGAGAGGAUGAUCAGCCACACUGGGACUGAGACACGGCCCAGACUCCUACGGGAGGCAGCAGUGGGGAAUCUUGGACAAUGGGGGCAACCCUGAUCCAGCCAUGCCGCGUGAGCGAUGAAGGCCCUAGGGUUGUAAAGCUCUUUCACCCGCGAAGAUAAUGACGGUAGCGGGAGAAGAAGCCCCGGCUAACUCCGUGCCAGCCGCCGCGGUAAUUC